CCUACGGGAGGCAGCAGUGAGGAAUUUUGGUCAAUGGACGCAAGUCUGAACCAGCCAUGCCGCGUGCAGGAAGACGGCUCUAUGAGUUGUAAACUGCUUUUGUACGAGGGUAAACGCAGAUACGCGUAUCUGUCUGAAAGUAUCGUACGAAUAAGGAUCGGCUAACUCCGUGCCAGCAGCCGCGGUAAUACGGAGGAUUCAAGCGUUAUCCGGAUUUAUUGGGUUUAAAGGGUGCGUAGGCGGUCGGAUAAGUUAGAGGUGAAAUCCCGAGGCUCAACUUCGGAAUUGCCUCUGAUACUGUUCGGCUAGAGAGUAGUUGCGGUAGGCGGAAUGUAUGGUGUAGCGGUGAAAUGCUUAGAGAUCAUACAGAACACCGAUUGCGAAGGCAGCUUACCAAGCUACUUCUGACGUUGAGGCACGAAAGCGUGGGGAGCAUACAGGAUUAGAUACCCGGGUAGUC
RNAcentral lists this ribosomal RNA (460 nucleotides) under uncultured bacterium. RNAcentral's name for it is "partial 16S ribosomal RNA". It matches the Rfam family "Bacterial small subunit ribosomal RNA", at positions 338 to 795 of the family's 1533-position model. The record is from RNAcentral.